AAUUUGAAUCUUAAGAACAAUCUUUGAAGCUGAGAACAAUUUUCUGAAAAUACAGAACUUUUUAUUAAACUAGCAAACAUUUUUUGAAAAUGCACAAAUUUUUUAAAAAUCGAAUAACAUUUUUGAAAAAUUCAGAACAUUUUUUGAAACAGAAACAGCAAAUAGAAAACAUAAAGAAAUGAAUAAACAAUAGAAGAAAGAAGAAAGAAAAAAAGAAAAAGAAACAAAAUAUCAGUUCAAAGAACCUUGUAGAAGUUUUCAAAACCCAAAAAACGGCUGAGAACCUUUCCAAAACCGGAGCGCUGCAACCGGUUAAAUAGUUCAGGCCAUUUAAAAUCGUUCCCCUUCCAACUUGGAGCGAAGGUCCGAUACCGCUUCGUACAGAAUGGCGAAGAGGACAUUCCACUCCCUCGAUCAAGGUGCAAGACUGGAUCAGACUGAUGCCUUACAAUAUUUUUCUGUUUCUCUUCUAAAACAUCUUUAUAUAUUUAAAAUUAAGUAUGUACUCAAACAGAGAUUGUUAGCUUGAAUUAAAACAUACUCCCUCCGUUCCUAAAUGUAAGCCUUUUAAGAUAUUUCAAUAGGAGUCUACAUACGAAAUAAAAUGAGUGAAUCUACACUCUAAAGUAUGUCUAUAUACAUCCGUAUGUAGUCCACUAAUGAAACCUCUUUAAAGACUUAUAUUUAGGAACGGAGGGAGUAUAAUAUAUAAAUAAAAAAACUUAUAAAAUGAUAUUUACGAAAUAAUGGUAACAUAGUAUAAUAAAAUUGCCAGCACAGUUUAAAUGAAUGCUGAUAACAUUUGAAAUAUGUUCGGACAGUGAAAAAAUGUUCCCGUGUUUCCAAAUAUUGUAUAUUAGAUUUUUAAAUGUGUAUACAAUAUCAAAUUAAUAUUUUCCUAACACAAAAAAUGUGCUUCUUCCCAAUUAACAAACAACAUGUGAUAUUUAAAAAAUUAUAUAAAAUGUGAAAAAUGCUAUUCUUAGUUAAAAACAAAGUUUUUCCCAUAAAAUGCACCUGACAUUUCGAAACAAUUGCGUAUUCCUGGAAAAAUGUACCUGAAAUGUCCGUAAUAUUUCUUAAUGUAAAAAAAUGAUUGCAUAGUUUCAAAAAACUAAUUUUGCGAUUAUACAAAUGUACAACAUGUAAUUUUAUAAAACUUUACCACUUGUUUAAAAAUGUGUUCCCAAGAUGUAUUUUAAAUAAAUAUACUUCAUGUAUUUCAAAAAUGUUGGCAUGUAUCAUAUUUUUUUAACGUGUGCUAUAAUAGUGUAAAUUGUGUACUGGAAAAUAAAGUAAAAUAUGUUUGAAAAAAUUGUUAUAAGAACCAAUAAAAAAACAAGAGUAAACCAAUUAAUAUAACGAAGAAAAGAUGAAAAGGCUAAAAGUAACAACAAAAAAAAGAAACCCAGAGUAAAAUGAAGAGAAAAACGAAAGAAAAUCAGCUCGCUGUCCUGUGAUGGGCCGGCCCAUUACACUGUGUAUUUUAAUACUUCCAAAAUUAUGGAGUAGAUGGGAUUCGAACCAGAGACAUUCGGCCACGUACUAAGAUGUGGUUGAUUAGCUUAUUUAAAUUUUAUUACUUACUAGUAAAUAUGCCCGUGCGUUGUAACGGGAAAAACUCAAUGAUAUCCCUAUGUAAUAGCAACGGCCUAGAACAUAAGCGUGAUGAUUUGAUUUGCGACUUCUAGAUGAAAAUUUAUAAAAGGAAGUCAUAUGUUAUUUACAUGCUCCACUAAAGAUUUCAUGAGCAUUGGAAUUUUAUAUCACCUACUUAUAGUUUAAACCCAAAGUUAGCACAAUUUUGAAUUCGAAUUUGAAAAAGAACAGACAAAUACUCUCUGAAAACUGUUGGAAAAAUUUAUACUUUUAUAAGUAGUAGCAUCCGUGAAAUUUUCCUAUAUAUUUCGUAGAGUGUUGAGCAUCGAAACAUUUAGAUUAUACUAAUCCUGAAAAGCUUAUGGAGGAGUAGAGGAGGAGAAGAUAUUCCAGCAAAUUUCGUUUUUUUAUUUUCUUUCAACCACUCCUUUUCACUGACCAAUGGGUCUCCUGGAUCUAGUAGUGUCAUCUCCAAGGGACACGCGUGUACAACCCCCUGUCCGGCUGUCUCUUCCUCCACUCCACUGCCUCUCUCUUCACUCUUUUCCUCCCUCCUUGGAUCCCCUUUCUUGUCAAGCUCACCGGGGACGCCGCCGCUUGCCAUUGCAACGCAAGAUGCAAGAACCGGCGGGAUCCGUCAGCCCUCAGUCCGAAUCGACGUCCACACCUCCAGCUCUGACAUGCACACCCGCUAGAAGCCGCCAUGAACCACACCACCUUGUUUCUCCGGUGCGUUCUUGCUCCUAGGUAGUUCCUAGCUCCAUUGUUGCUCCUGUCGUCCCUUUAAUGGUGAUUCCGGGCACGGCGCCCGGCAGGAACCUCUUGAACCAAGGACGCCUUUCUCGGUUCCGUCGGUCGUCGUUGUGACGCCGCCGCGGUCAUUCUCCUCCCCCUGCAGAUACAGGGACCGUGAUGGGCUCCGCGUCGUCUGCGUCUCCUUUGGACCACACACUCGAAGCCGUGUGUCCCUCCUACUUCUUCCUCGACCUCUGGCCGCCAUCGAUGCUGUCUGGAAGUCGCUACUGUCCAUACUCUCACCUCCUUGAGCCAUCCGACCCCGCCACGAACCACAGGGUGAGGGGUCGCAUCUGCCUGCUGCUAGCUUGCUUUGCUGCUUGUUGUUGUUGCCGCUUGCUGCCGCUGGUUGUUUUUCUUACCGCUGCUGCUUUCCUUUGUUGUUGCUGCUGGCCUUGCGGGUAAAUGAGAGAAAUAAAUAAAGUUCUACAUCUCUACAGGGAGAUGGUUAGAUUCACCUCUGUACAGACUAUAGAGAGAUGACCAUGUUUUAGUACCUUUUAAUUUACUUGCUCCUCAGUGUCAGACUAAGGCUAGUCUUCCUUGUGCAUAAAAGUUUUAGAAAAAUGCUCAACUUGCUGAUCUUGUAAAAUCCAUCACAAAAUGAUUCUUCUAUUGGUGUCACUGUUUUCACCUUUAUUUAGUUUAUUAAUCUUCCUCUCACUGUUUUCAGUAUUUAGUUUAUUAAUCUUUCUCAUCAUCUCCAUCGCCAGCGUAUUUAUGUUUAUCGACAUCGUCAAUGUCGGUGGUCGCGGUAACGGACUAUGGCAAGUGUGCUCUACCGGUAAGCAAUGCCUCUCACCCUCCGCCGGCCGGCCAUGCCUCUCCUCAUGAUCACCUUCAGCCUACUUAUUCAUUGGUUCCUGAGGAGUCUGCUCGAUGUUGCGGAUAACUUGCAAACAUAUUAAAAUUGGUGAUACUUGGAGCAAGGUGGGAUUAUUUCACGUGAAAUAACCACGUAUCUUUUUUUCAUGACAUGUGUAUGUUAUAGGUUUUUUUUAACUUAGAUGUAUGCUACACGUCAAUUGGCUACCUUGAUUAGAAUUUGAUCGUACGAAAAGGGGUUUUAUGUAAAACUGGAAAAAAACGGUUCAUUGUCACUUAAAAGAGGGACUGCGGGUUAGUUCGGAUAAAAUAGAAGGUUUUGUGCAAAACGUAAAAUAACGGUUCGACUUGACUUAUAAAAGGAAUACGGGUUGAAUCCUCAAAAACUGAGGGGCUUUUUCGCAAAAUUGCCACGAUGGACGACAGAAGAACUACGUGCUUUAUUAUUACGGAGAGAUUCUCUUUUCCAACAAUUCUAUUCAGUUUUAUCUUUUCUUUUUUCUUUUAUUUUUUAUUUUAUUUUUCUCAUACUUACUUUUUUGAUAAAUUAUGAUGAAUUGUUUCAACUUUGAUGAACUUUUUUACAAAUUCAAUGAUUUUUGAGAAAAAAAUCGUUGAAUAUUUUUUCAAAAUCUGUGAAGUUUUUUAAAAUUCGAUGAGCUUUUUAAAAAUAAUGAUGAACUUUUAUCAAAUUUGAUGAUUUCUUUUAAACCAGUGAACUUUUUUUCAAAAUCUCUGAACCUUUUAUAAAAUCAAUGAUUUUAAAAAAAAUUGUGAACUUUAUCACAUUGGCUGAACUUUUUCCAACUUUGGUGAACUAUUUUCCAAAAUUAAUGAACUGUUUUUUAAUUCGGUGAACUUUUUUAACAUUUGACGAUAUUUUUUCAUAUCCGAUGAACUUUUUAAAAUUUUGAUGAACUUUUUUCAAAUUCGUUGAGCUUUUUUUAACACCGAUUAACUUUUUUUGGCAAAUUUGAUGAACGUUUUCAAAAUCAUUGAAAUUUUUAUAAUAAUUAAUGAACCUUUAUCAAAUGUGAUAAACAUUUCUCAAAUUUGAUUAUUAUUACAUUUAAAAUCUGUCAACAUUUUUUCCAUUUAAAAACUUAGUUUGCAAAAUCGGUGUACUUUAUUUUCCAAAAAUCAAUGAAUUUAUUCUGGGCCUGCAGGGGCGCCGAGCUGUUUGAUGGGCUGGCCCUGCGCUGCGGGAGCCAGGAGGAUAAACGGGCGCCUGCAGCGCAAUGUAGGAGCUCCCGAAAAGCCUAUUUGACGCUCUCUGCGUCAAGGCAUCGAGGCUUCGCAUACGGAGGGAAGGUGUUCGAUUUAAAUGGGCUGUCCCAUUAGCGGGUUACACUGAUUCAGGUUUUGGGAACUACAGGUUCCAGCGGGGUUUAUUUUUGGUUUUGCUAAACUUCUAGAAUGUUUUCUGAACCGCCGAUUUUUAUUCUUUAGUUUUGUUCUUUUUUGUUUUUGUUCAAAAAAUGUUCUAAAUUUUCAAAACAUUGUUCGGGAUAUUCAGAAAAAUAUUAUGAUUUUCACAAGUUGAUCUUCCUAUCCGAAAAAGCAAAUUAUUUUGAAAAAAAUGUUCCGGAUUUUCCAAAAUGUUAGGAUUUUCAAAAAUUGUUCUUCCAAUCCGAAAAAUGUUUUUGCUUUUUAGAAAAUGUUAUGUAUUUUCCAAAAAACGUCUUCAAAUUCUAAAUAUUUUUUUGAUUUUUGAAAAAUGCUCAAGAUUUUUUAAAAUGUUUUGGAUUUUUAAGAAAUGUUGUGAUUUUUUUUAAAAAAAUAGUGGUUUUCAAAAAUUGUUCUUCAAAUUCGAAAAUUACAUUUUGCUGUUGAAAGAAAUGUUCUACAUUUUUAAAAUAUGUUCUGUAUUUUCAAAAAAUUAUCGGGUUUUUUGAAAAAAUGGAUUUCCAAUAAUUGUUGUUCAAAUUCAAAAAAUGUUUUUUCUUAUAGAAAAAUGUUCUAAAUUAUAUAUAUUUGUGUUUUUUAAAAAACAUUCAUAACUUCAAAAAAUGUUCGGAAUUGCCCAAAAAUAUUGUGUAUUUUAACAAAAUGUUCGAUAUUUUCAGAAAUUGUCUUCUAUUGUCUGAUAAUGUUCGCAAUAUCAAAAUUCUGUUCAGUUUCUUAACUAAGGUUGUUUUCAGAAAUUGCUCUUAAAUUUCUAAAGCACAAUUUAUAUUCCAAAAAAUGUUCUUGCUUUCAGAAAAGGUUCUAAAUUUCUAAAUUUAUUGUUUUCCAAACUUUUUCAUAAAUUCAAUAAUAUUCUGAAUUUUGAAAUGAACUUCAAAUUUGUAUAAUAUUUUUCCUUCCAAUACGAAAAGAAAAUAAAAAAGAAAUAAAAAACGAACAAGAAAAGAAAAGAAAUAUGCAGAAAAGAAGAAGAAAAAAAAAAUAUUAGAUUUUUCUGAGACAAAAAGAAUAAUCUGGCCGGCCCAGUUGGGACGAGCCCCUGUGCGUUGCAGCGCUUCCCUCCCGCAAAAUGCUGCAGGUAGGAGCUCCCGAAUCAGGAUUCUUUUCUCAACACAUAAAAAACUUGAAUCGGGAUUCUUUUCAAAAAGAAAAACUGGAAUCGGAAUAUAGGUAACAUGUAAGACCUGACGGAGACAAUGACGCGCCUAAUAGGGUUUAUUGUAGCUAGCCUCACCGCGGUGCUCGUAAUUGGCCGGCCCGGGGUGCGAGUCAGCCUGUUAUUUGGUUCACAUUGGCUUGUGUCCGUUUGAUUUUGAAUUUUGUUUAUAUAUAUUUGUUAGUAUUGUAAAUAGUUUUUAGCAAAUAUAUAAUUAAAUUUAAAAUGGUCAUCGUGCAUUCGAAAAAUGUUCAGUUAGUGUAGAAAUUAUUCGCGUGAUUUCUAGAAAAUAUUUAUAUAUUUCAGAAAAAAUAUCACAUUCAAAACAUUUGACGUGUUAAAAAGGAGUUCCGUGAUAUUUUCUAAAAAAACUAUUCAGUGUAAAAUUAGAUUAUUUAAGAAAAAAAUUAUAACAUUCAAAAACAAUCCAUGAGAUUUAAAAAGCAUCAUAAUACUUAAAAUGUUCAUUACACUAAAAAUUCGUGUGUCAAGAAUAAGUUUAUAAUUUAUUAAAAAUUGUGUACUCGAUGUAAAUUUCACGUAAUUUCCAAAUAAUAUUUGUAAUUUAGAAAACUAUAAGACAUUUUAAAAUAUCAGGACACUUAGAAAAUGUUUCACACAUUAUAAAAAUAUAUUCAUAGGUUUUGUAAAAAAUUAUCAGUGUGUGUUUACAGAAUUAUCACCGGGGGUAUUAAAUUGUUCCAUGUGCAACCGAAACUUGUUUAACCCUUGUAUUAAAAGAUGACUAAUGUCUAUUGACAAAUGAUGAACAUGUAUUUCAAAACCGUUCAACGUAUAUCUAAAAACUGUUUAGCAUGUAUGCGGGAGCGCCAGAGGCUGAGUCGUCUUUCUUUAUAAAGACAAGAUUUAUAUAGCCAUUAUGUAGCAAGGAUGUCUUUGCUCGUUCGGAAGAAAGAGGGAGUAAGGAUUAAACAAAAUUUCAGCUCGUGGCCUUCUCAGUUCGAACUCACGGUCGAUGGUGGUGUUUUGUUUUUCUAAACACAGUAUAAUUAAAGUCGCUCACAUAUAUGGGCAUAUACUUAUCUAUAUAAAUGCACACACCCACACCCAACUCAUAUAAGCAUUCCUGAGAGAUCAAACCGAUACAUCCUCUUAAAAUUGACGAAGUCACCACAGACUCCUUCGUAGUUGACAGAAAUGUCUCCUUUCAUUACUGAACGCACAUCACCGGAAUGUCUGAAAUAAAUGCAGAAAAAUAUGAGCACAUCAAUGUCAAGUCCUUGACUUAUGGUGAACAUGAGAUACCACCAUCUUUUUAACUAUCCAGCCACGGGUUGAUUUGCGUCGCUGGUGGUUUUGUGUACGCUUACACGGUGGCCGUUCUCACAGCUCUUGCUUUCAUCCACCCAACCAUGAGCGGUCUAGAUCAUGACAAGCUUGAAUCUUUUUGGAACGUUCCGAACUGCUGCUAGCCGGCCGGGCAGUAGCGGUCGGCCGCGGAGCUUUCAGCGUGUGGAAAACGGCAAGCCGAACCGCCAAGGCAUGCCCCGGAGGAUGACCAUGUUAAAUGAAGGACAAGGACAUGGCGCGAGAAUAGUCAAUGACAAGUCGAGCUAGCAUCAUUCAUGUGACAUCCAUCCAAUCCAAGGGUGUGGUCUGUAUGUCUUGGUGAUGCAAGUCGAUUGCAUGGCUACCACUGUGUGCAUGCAUGUUCAUCCAUGGCAACCAACCGGUCCGAUCCGAUGACCGUGGUGCGAAUUCGAUGACCAUAUGAUUUAGUUAGCUGAUGACCCACGAGAGAGAGAGAGAGAGAGCGGGCAUGCAUGCACUGAUGCACGGAGGGAGGGAAGGAAGGAUCAACGACCUCUCGAGCGGUUUCCCAUUAUUAAAGGAAGGCGAGUCCAAAUCUAACCACUUUCCACUUUGGCCGAGGGCUGGACAGAAAGGGAUCGAAGGGAUGGAGCAGGAUCUGACCUGACGAGGCCCUUUCACACACACACAAAGAGACACAGUGUGAUGAGCUAGCUUUGCUUGGCUGCUCGAUCGACCUUCCCUUUUGUAGACCUUGAUGGCGUGCACUUGUGCUCACAUCCGAUGGCCGAUCGAGGGCAAAGGUGAAACUAAAAAAGAGGUUAGUUUCGUGAUGCGUAGAUGUUUCUGAAGCCUGAAGGAAAUACGCACACAUCCACUGCGUGCCAGCCACCUCGCUGAGACCCGGGAGGGGAGGCACGCACGCUCCUACUCGAUCGAUCGGUAGAAUAUAUCUACACGCCCAUACCCAUGAAUAAACAAACCGAACCACAACAAUACAGCGACGCGCACAGCUAGGGAGAAGAAAGGGAGCAGAGCGGAGUGGUAGCAGGUAGACGUCCCUAAUUUCUUAUCCGGCGAAAAACAAACAGCGGCGGCGCGCGGCGGCCUGCGCUGUGUUUCCGCCCGGUACGGCUGCAGGUUCUCGGCAGCGCUCUUCAGCGAGCGGGAUGGGCAAAGAUGCGGCCGCCGAGCAUCUGCCUGCUCGGCCGGUGGUGUCACGGUCUCGGGAAAGCAACGGCCACCAGACGCGCGCGCCCGUGCCACUGCCCGCCGGACGAGCCGGAGCUUGCAUGGCUGUGGAUAGAUAGGGCGCCGCGUGCGUGCGAGUGUGACAAGAAGAAGGUGAUCGAUGUGCAUCGCCGUCGCGGUCGCACAGCUAGCCCUGCUCGUGACCUCCCUCUGACUUGUGCGCUCGCCGCCGUCAUCCCGUGGCCUCCUCUGCUAGUCGACCUUCCUUUGUCGCCGUCUCAAUUCAUAGCCGGAAAGUAACAAAUAACCCCCACAUGCAAAUUCCUUCAUCCAACGCAGUCUGUGACUCCAGCCAACAAUUACUUCAGGGCCGGGUAACUGCAUGCCAACCACUCCCGCCAACAAUUAAUCAGAGCCAUGCAUUCAGCUAGCUGCUUGCGGGAAUUGUUGCCGGAUUAGUGGCGGUGUUCUUCCUUCUCAUCCAGAUCCAGUGCAGGUGCUCCUUCUCAUCCAGCCGCUUCGGGUAACACCCCCGUUGCUUUUGGAGGCAGGAUAAGACGAUCCAUGACGGGUGCUACGCGCGUAAGAGACCUAUCAAUCAAUCAAUCAAUCGAUCAACAAUCGUGUAAGCUGGGUAAGUAAAUUACCAGUGCGAGUUCGUUAUUAUCUACUAGUGUAGUGUGCAACGUGUGGCGUCCAAGUCGCGUAACGAUGCUCGGCAAUAACCCCAGUCUAGUGGCAAUCAGCUGGCUAGCGUGAUGGUUACUACCACCACCUUUUCCUGUUAGCUAAAGCGCGCUGCCUAUACUAUACUAUAAUACAAGACCUAACUGAACCCCGCAUGCACAAUCAUGGUAAGUACGUGUUGGUGCCGCUGGUCCUGUGUGCAUCAAGUGGUUCGUUCAGUUGGGCCUCGCUCCGGCCGUCACUUUCACUCGUCAACUGGCGUGUUCGAUGCCUAGCUAGAUCGACCACACUGGCUAGCUGGGUAGUAGUAGCUUAGUUGAUGCCCAUGAUUGUACCACUUUGAAUUUCGGGGUGUUUUUUGAUUGAAUGGCGGUGGUGGCAUGCUAUGAUAACGAUCGUCAUCAAGGUGCAUCCAUCCAUAGAUCGUAUCUGAACCAUGCAUGCUGGUCUGGACGCCUGGUUGUAGAUUUAAAUUCAGAAAUAAAUUCAACAACAGACUAUACAUAUGAUUCAGAAACAAACACGAGCAUCAAAAUCAUAUUGAAAUCCUGAUGAGCUGAAAAUACUGUGUAUAUAUGAUUCCUCUAAGAGCAAGUACAAUAAGGUACAGUCAGCAGGCUGUAAGGAUUAAAAUACUAUAUUUUUGCUGAGUUGGAUGAGAGAGAAGGGAAGCGCACUCUUCGUGAAGAGCCAGCUAUAGCACGUGCUUCUAGAUGCUUUGUGAGAAUGAAAGGUGAGUCAUAUAUGAUAAAAAUAGUACUCUUUUAUAGCUAACUAUUGUACACGCUAGCUAUAAGAUGGGCUAUAAGACUGCUUAUAGCCAGCAGCUAGCUAUACUAUUAACCAUGCUCUAACCAUCCAACAACGGGCUGGUUCGCGGCCGUCCGUGUUUGGAUGGACGUAUGACACGCUGUGGACAACGUAUCCACGUCGUCCUUCGCCGCUAGCUGCGGCUCUACCGCGGCAGUGUGCGACACAAGAUGACACGUAGGGCCUCCACUUGGUUCGACAACGAUCACCGGAUGGACACACACGGAUGGACGGAGCAUCGGACUUGUAUUCGGCGUCGCAUUGUUCUCUCGUUGCACCCACCACCAGUCCGUCGCCGACGACCGCCGUCUCCGCGUCUCCGGAAACAAGUGGGUGGACACACAUCCCAUUCCUUUCCAUUUCAUCAUCGCGAGCGCAAGCCAACGGAUAAUCUCGUGCCAUUUAUUCGCCGGGCCGAAGAAACGUGAGCCAAAUAGAGCGGAGACACCGGUCAAACUAGCUCGCAUCCACGAGAGGGAUGCACACGCAACACACACACACACAUUGUCCAUGAGCCACGUACGUAGUAGUACAUGACAGGAGCGCCCGUCCCCUCACGUACUUGGACUGCCGAGUACCUUUCAUAACGAUAACGAUAAGAUCAACUCUAAUAGGCCCCGCAUUCCGCACCGGCCAACAAAAUAACCGUUAAAUUACGGAUCCAGGUUGGAAAAUUCACACGAUCAUACCUCGCAUCCCGUGCCGACCCGUAAAUUUUUUUGCGGGGCGCGGCAAAUCUUUUCCCCCAACCUCCAUCCUCAAGGGUUCGGAGACCGACCCGAACUGAACCCCUAUCCGGCGGGAGGGACAUUUCCGCGCACCCUUUCCCCGCUCCCCGCACCCUCCGCCAUCAUUGCCCCCCCUCCGCAAACUCCGGUUCCUCCUCCCCGGCCGUUCCUCGCCAUCAUGGAGGACCCCAUGCUGUCCCCCAUCACCGUCCAGGUCGUGCAUGCUCCUUCCCCUCGGGCGGAUCUCGUCGCCGGCCAUGUUUCCCCCGCCGCUGUCGCCCAAGCACACGUCGCGCCUUCCCGAAAAAGGCAGGGCAUCGUGGUCGUGCAGGGCGGGAAUCCGGCUGCCCCCGCCGCGACGGCCCGCACUCCGGGUGCCAACGCCGCAGUGCGAUUCCCGGCCGGCGGCGCAGAAGGCCGGCAAGGCCGCGGGCGUAAAGCGGAGGAAGGUUCCGGCUUCAAGGAAGCCACCUUUAUUCAACCUCUGACUUCACCCCCCCCCCCCGCAAGGAGGUGCUCCGGCGAUGUCGUUGAACGAUUCCGCUCCCCCCGCGGCCGAGGUGUUCGACGAAAUGGCCGGAAGGUAUGCCUCUUCGGUCUUGGCGAUUCCUUUUCAUUUUUCGCCAUUAGUCUUGAUAGCUCAUGACUUGUUAUCGUUCGCUAUAGCAGUGGUUCGAACAAUGCAACAACCGAGUUCAUGAACAUGUUGAACAUGAACGCGGUUGACAUUGAUCAAGCCUCUUUCGAACCAUUCAACUACAAUGAAACGGACGGCGACGUGGAUGAUCAUGGUGCUACGAACGAAUUGGAGGAGAUCGAAGCGGAAGAAAUUUGCACAAGCCCGAUGGCGACAAGAAGACUAAAGAGAAGAUGAAGAGAGAGCAAGAAGCAGCGAGCUUGAGGAAGAAGAUUGAUGCCAUGGUGCAAUCAAACGAGUUGAUGUUGUUGAAGUCGUUGCAGAUCAAGAAAGAGUUGGCCGAGAAGAAGGAAAAAGAGAAGCAAGAAAAAUGGCAAAUGCUCAAGGAAGAGGGGCUCCGCAAAGCUGCCAUUGAGGAGAGAAAAGCACGCGCCUCUGAAACCAAAUCGAUGUCAUUGUUGCUCGCCGAGGAGAACAAGAUCAUGUCAAUGAACCGCAAUGACAUGGACGACCUCACCCAAACAUGGCAUGAUAUGGUAAGGAGAGAGAUCUUGAAGAGGAGAAUGGUCGCCUCGACCGGUCCGUGUUCCAGUUCCGGUGAUGUUUUCUCUUCUCCAUAUGAUGCCAAUGUGGAUGAUUUCGAUGCGGGAGUUGGAACAAACGACGGAGGUGGAUUCGGUGGCACCGAUGAACUUCAAUAUGGACUCCAUGGCGCGGUGUGAAGAUCGAGCCCCAAGAUGAUGCCGGACAUGGGCGCAAACCUUUGCAUGCCCUCUUUUGCGUAAUAAACUUCACUUUUAUUUGCACGCAAACUGUUUAUUUCGUUUGAAUCUGAACUUGUUUGCCAAACCCUAUGUCAAAUGCAAGAUUUGCAGUUUUUGUUUGCGGGUCGUCACGAUGAAGCCCGAGCAGAACCCGCAGAAGCCUAUUCGUAAAAAACAUAUUCUACGGGUUCGUUUGAAGAAUCUGCAUCUGUGUCAGCCCGCGCCGGCCCGCAAAAGUGGUUUUGCGCGAACUGCUAACGCAUUUUGCGGGCCGGCGGGAUGCGGGGUCUGCUAGAGUUGCUCUAAGGUGUGCAUGUGUAUGUUUAUAGGGAUGAGUAUAUGUCUCUAUAUAUAACUGCUUGUAUGUGUACUGUGUUAAAAAAAACUGCUACGUCUUGGUACCUCGAGCCUCGUAAACGGCCUAGCCUAGCAACCACGCCACGCCCAUGACAAAGGAGCAAAAGCGGGGCGAAAAGAGGGGUGAUGGAAGCUGAGAAAAGGAGGGGAGAAAGAAGACCUUCCGGGCACGGGCACGGGCACGGGACUCGUCGCAGCCACGUACCGGUGGAAAGAAGAGUCGAUUGUCCAGAUUUUUUUCUCUCGGCUUGGCAGCGCUAAUUUUAUUUUUCUUUGCUAAUCAUUCGGGGUAAGUAAUCGUGGUUGGCGAAAAGCGCCGCACAUCAUCACAUGGAAAUCGCCGGAAAAGCGUUCGCCAGCCAGGUCGCCUGGCCGCGCGCAAAGCCGACGAGAAAAAAGGAUCGUGCGUACGUAUAUACCCAGCUCAUGGCGGCGGCUACCCUUCUCUUCCCUGACUGACUAGUCAGGGUGAUCGGUUGCCACCAACGAGACGGCCGCAAGUUACUGCCCCCUGCCUGCCGGUGCAUGGCUAUCACAGAGUUUCACAACUCGCAUGAAACACACACAAGAAAAUCAGAUUUUACUUUCUUCGGUCGAAAUAGCCACCGCGUAAUAGCAGAGAUAUUUUUCCAGUAAAAGAUACCUUUUUUAAGUUUGGGGCCUGCUACGCAUCCAUUGACGGAUGUUUACUAAACAUCCACCACUUGGAGGACCGUUCAAUCUACGCAUAGCCGUCCGAUCUGCUCCGGUCAGACAUCUCAUAAUUCCUGAAACGAUGGUUGAGUUGCAGAAAUUUUUGCUUUGUUGCAGGAAAUAAGUUUUGGACCCGUUAAUUCCUGAAACAACGGUCGAGUUUUGGAAAGAAUUUGCUUGUUGCAGGAAUUUGUUUUCUUCGUCUUUCUACAACAUAGGUACUUUUGCAGAAAGAUUUUUUUGUAACAAAGGUCGUGUUUCAGGAAUUUUUGCAACAAAGGUUAGGUUGCAUUUUUUUUUUUGCAAUGUUCAUGAUGCGGCUGGCGGCGACUGGAUGGCUGGUCGGCGGCGUGAGAGGGUGGGGGAGGGGAGGGCCCCGGCAUCGUGGGCGGCGGCGCGGCUGGCACGGCCGAGCGGCGGCGCGGCUGGCAGAUCUGGUCAGCGGGGUUGGAGCGGCGGCGCGGCUGGCAGAUCUGGUCAGCGGGGUUGGAGCGGCGGCACGGCCUGUCGUCUCCAGCAACAGCGAGGUUGGCGUCGCUCGAUCUGGUCAGCGGGAAGGAAUUCGAUAGAUCCGGCAUGAAGGCGGGAGGCACGUGGUGGGACAAUCUCGUCGGCCGUCGUAGGGCGCCGUGGUGCGACAUGCAUCUCCCUGCUCGGGGACUAUGCGGAUGGGUCGAGGCAGCGAGAAAAUAGAUGGACUGGGCAUUCCGCAACUUGCCAUGUGUUGCGCUCGGCAGUUUUGCAACACGACCAAUGUUGCAAUACACUAGUGCGGUAUGAGGAGUGUUGUGCAUCCCACGAUUAAGUGUUGAUCGAACGGUUACGGAGAUGGUCGAUGCGUGCAACCGAUCCCUUGGUUGAUAGGAAACAUUCCCUUUUUUAACUUAAAAUGUAGCAUCAAACAAAUAGCCACAAGUAAAGCUCUAUAAGACGGACACUAUGACUGUGUUGAAGCCGGACGGAUCCGGACAGCAAUGUUGAGAAAAAUAUAAAACAUCUCUGGCCAUACGUUAUGAUCGUGUAUGCAUCAUUUUAACUCCAUACCAUUGAAAUUGUCCACAUACAAAACAAAUGCAUACAACAAAAGUAACCUGCAAUGAAGGAGAGAGUUUGUCACAGAAAACAAAAUAAUUUCUACUUGGCCAAAGCUACAAUAAUAAGUAGACGCUCGCACCCUUAUUAGCAUGUUAAAUCUACUUUGCGUUAUGUCCAGUCUGUCAUUAUAUAUAUUGGUAACAUUUGUGGGCGCGUACAAAUUUUAUGCUAUUUGGAUGUCUGACCAAAAUUGCACAAACUUGUAUUGAAAUAAAGAGGUGUUUGAUCUCCUCGUCGUGAAUACAAAAAUUAUACAUUUUUUACUUCCUUAUCUGUUGCGUCGAACGAGGUUAUCUUUGAUUAGCACGACACCUCCUUAAAGUUACCACAUAAAAAUCUUUAUUCAUAAUGGUGUCUUGGACUUCCAUACUUGGUUAUUAUUAUCUAAUGAAAUUUCAAAAUAUGUGAGGACACAAUACAAAGAGUCGACUGCAAAAGAUCUGAUAUAGUAAGACUUCAGCGAAACAACUCUCGACCUUCUGUCAGCUUGAUGCCUUGAUCAUUUCCGGUCUUGAUCCUUCGACGAUGGAGCUGAAGUAAUCGUCGACUUGGUCCUCCGACGAUGAACGUUGGGUUGACGCCUUCAUCACGACGGAGAAAUCGGACAUCGGCGCGUCGAAGUCCGAGGACGACGAUGAGGAGUAGACUUCUAUCUAUCUAUGCUAUGUAUUUUUUUUAUCAUUUUCUAUCUAUCUAGGCUAUCUAUGCUAUGUAUCGUAUUAAAACUAUGCUAUGUAUCGUUUGAAUUGUCGAUAAAAAUGCAUGUUGGUUUUUGCGUGCCUGCUGAAGUGUCGCGAUGUAAACCAAUUUUCUUACGGCUUUCAUUAGAGCCAGCACUCGUCGACGUGCUAAAAUUAGAUGUGUGCGCCGUAAACUGAUUUUUUUUAUGCGCCGCGUGUUGGGCGUCUGUUGGACAUGCCUCUAAGUCGAAGCCUUACCGGUAGCUAGAUCACACACACCAGACCGGCGACACGAGUCCAAGAGGAGCGUUGAUUGCCAUGCCAUGUACCGGCGGCACGUAAAGCGAACAUGGCGCGUUGUUCCCGUCGUACUAGGCACCGAGCGCGGGAGGCGGCGACAGUCCUUGCGGCGAUAGACGUUAGCGAGGCGGGGUCACAUUCUCUUGUGCCUCAUAUGAUGCACCAUUGCGGGCACUGCAAUCGCGUUGUGGUGGAUGUCGGCUUAACCCAAUAGGGAUCCAUCAUAGAUCUCAUGUCCAUGGGCACCGUCCGGGUUGCAGGCUCCCAUGAGAAAAAACAGAGCAUGAAAGAUGACGGCGCCUUGAUUCCCGUGAACCGGUUCGUGUUUCAUGUCCUAUCUACCUCGCUGAUAACCAGACGAACACUCUAGGAAAUGCAGGCGGAUGAACGACAUGGACACGAUGCGGACGAGAUUUGUUUUAAUAUUUUUAAAUAAAAUAUCGGUUAGAUUUGUGAAAUCUCACUGUAAAUGCUCUAAGUGUAUCUAGUACUAUUUUUUAUUGCUGAGAAUAUGGUACAAUAGUAAUAGAGUUAUAAUGUGCGCCUGUCACCGUCGUCGGCAAGUCUCGUAAGAGCAUCUCCAACAGCCGAGUUAAAAACGCGCACGCGCGUUAAAAGUCCACUUUAGCGUGCCCGGGACGAUUUCACGCGCUCCAACGGAGGCGGAAAAUUGAGGUGCGCGGAAAACGGUUGCGCGCGGGAAAAAGCGCCUAUAAAAUGUAGCGUCCGUCAUGCGCCCUUCCACCGAAACCGUCGCACUCUCGCCUCGUCAUGCGCCCUCCCUCGUCUCGCCACACGCCCCUCUGUCUCUUUUCUCGCCUCGUCAUCGCCACGCCACCAUGCAGUCGCGCCGCCGGGAAACUUCGGGCUACCGCGGCGUCCACGCGCGUCCCUCCGACACCUUCUACGUCGAGAUCUGAUCCGGCGACAUGCGCCUCAGACUCGGCACGUUCGACACCGCCGAGGAUGCCGCCCACGCGUACGACACGGCGUCGUGGCGCCUCAACAGGCCUCGCGCGGGAGAUGAAUUUCUGCAAGGUGAUGACGAUGGAGUGGGCGCAGAACCUCGCGCCUCGUCCAUGGCUUGUCAUCGAAGAGGACCGUCGCCGGAACCAGAGGCAGCAGCGCCUCCUCAGCAUUGCUGAGAUGGACGAGCAUGCCAUGACCGGGUGGUGCCGACACUUCCCGCGGGACGUCCUCGAGAAGCGUGAAUUCUUCGUGCAAAGGAGGGCGGAGAGGGCAGAGCAAGCCGCUUAUCGUGAAGAUAGGCGUACGCGGAAGCAAGCUCACUCCUUCAGAUGGAGCUGAAGUAAUCGUCGACUUGGCCCUCCGACGAUGAACGUUGGGUCGACGCCUUCAUCACGACGGAGGAAUCGGACAUCGGCGCGUCGAAGUCCGAGGACGACGAUGAGGAGUAGACUUCUAUCUAUCUAUGCUAUGUAUUUUUUUUUUAUCAUUUUCUAUCUAUCUAGGCUAUCUAUGCUAUGUAUCGUAUUACAACUAUGCUAUGUAUCGUUUGAAUUGUCGAUAAAAAUGCAUGUUGGUUUUUGCGUGCCUGCUGAAGUGUCGCGAUGUAAACCAAUUUUCUUACAGCUUUCAUUAGAGCCAGCACUCGUCGACGUGCUAAAAUUAGAUGUGUGCGCCGUAAACUGAUUUUUUUUAUGCGCCGCGUGUUGGGCGUCUGUUGGACAUGCCUGUAAGUCGAAGCCUUACCGGUAGCUAGAUCACACACACCAGACCGGCGACACGAGUCCAAGAGGAGCGUUGAUUGCCAUGCCAUGUACCGGCGGCACGUAAAGCGAACAUGGCGCGUUGUUCCCGUCGUACUAGGCACCGAGCGCGGGAGGCGGCGACAGUCCUUGCGGCGAUAGACGUUAGCGAGGCGGGGUCACAUUCUCUUGUGCCUCAUAUGAUGCACCAUUGCGGGCACUGCAAUCGCGUUGUGGUGGAUGUCGGCUCAACCCAAUAGGGAUCCAUCAUAGAUCUCAUGUCCAUGGGCACCGUCCGGGUUGCAGGCUCCCAUGAGAAAAAACAGAGCAUGAAAGAUGACGGCGCCUUGAUUCCCGUGAACCGGUUCGUGUUUCAUGUCCUAUCUACCUCGCUGAUAACCAGACGAACACUCUAGGAAAUGCAGGCGGAUGAACGACAUGGACACGAUGCGGACGAGAUUUGUUUUAAUAUUUUUAAAUAAAAUAUCGGUUAGAUUUGUGAAAUCUCACUGUAAAUGCUCUAAGUGUAUCUAGUACUAUUUCUUAUCGCUGAGAAUAUGGUACAAUAGUAGUAGAGUUAUAAUGUGCGCCUGUCACCGUCGUCGGCAAGUCUCGUAAGAGCAUCUCCAACAGCCGAGUUAAAAACGCGCACGCACGUUAAAAGUCCACUUUAGCGUGCCCGGGACGAUUUCACGCGCUCCAACGAAGGCGGAAAAUUGAGGUGCGCGGGAAACGGUUGCGCGCGGGAAAAAAGCGCCUAUAAAAUGCAGCGUCCGUCAUGCGCCCUUCCACCGAAACCGUCGCACUCUCGCCUCGUCAUGCGCCCUCCCUCGUCUCGCCACACGCCCCUCUGUCUCUUUUCUCGCCUCGUCAUCGCCACGCCACCAUGCAGUCGCGCCGCCGGGAAACUUCGGGCUACCGCGGCGUCCGUGCGCGUCCCUCCGACACCUUCUACGCCGAGAUAUGAUCCGGCGACAUGCGCCUCAGACUCGGCACGUUCGACACCGCCGAGGAUGCCGCCCACGCGUACGACACGGCGUCGUGGCGCCUCAACAGGCCUUGCGCGGGAGAUGAAUUUCUGCAAGAUGAUGACGAUGGAGUGGGCGCAGAACCUCGCGCCUCGUCCAUGGCUUGUCAUCGAAGAGGACCGUCGCCGGAACCAGAGGCAGCAGCGCCUCCUCAGCAUUGCUGAGAUGGACGAGCAUGCCAUGACCGGGUGGUGCCGACACUUCCCGCGGGACGUCCUCGAGAAGCGUGAAUUCUUCGUGCAAAGGAGGGCGGAGAGGGCAGAGCAAGCCGCUUAUCGUGAAGAUAGACGUACGCGGAAGCAAGCUCACUCCUUUAGAUGGAGCUGAAGGAAUCGGCAACUUGGUCCUCCGACGAUGAACGCUGGGUUGACGCCUUCAUCACGACGGAGGAAUCGGACAUCGGCGCGUCGGAGUCCGAGGACGACGAUGAGGAGUAGACUUCUAUCUAUCUAUGCUAUGUUAUGUAUUGUUUUUUAUAUCAAUUUCUAUCUAUUUAGGUUAUCUAUGCUAUGCAUCAUUUUAAAACUAUGCUAUUUAUUGUUUGAAUUGUCUGUGUUUGAUGAAAAUGCAUGUUGGUUUUUGCGUGUCUGCUAGAGUGUCGAGCACUCGUCAAAUUUUACGCCUUCCGUUGAAGCCAGCCCUCGCCGAUGUAUUAACAUUAGAUGUGCGCGUGUUGUAAACUGAUUUUUUGUACGCCGACGUCCGUUGAAGAUGCUUCUAAGUCGGAGCCUCACCGGUAGCUAGAUCACACACACCAGACCGGCGACACGAGUCCAAGAGAAGCGUUGAGUGCCACGCCAUUGCCAUGCCAUGUACCGGCGGCACGUAAAGCGAAUCACAAUCACUUGCAACUUUCUUCAAUUGCAUGCACUCCUCCACACGCCUGGCCUAUCUACCUGUAUAUGCGCGUCCACCAUCACCAUGGCCCCGCCGCCCCCCCGCCGGACAGCCUUUGACGACUCCCUCCGACGGAGCCUCCUCCUCUGCCACGCGCCUAUAAAACGCCCCGCCCCUCGCCGCCCCUUCCAUCCAUUCAAACCCCUCUGCUCUGCUCCUCCCCUCCCGCACAGCACGCCGUCUUCCGACCCCUUCUCCCCCUCCCCGUAGCCGCCUUGCUCGCUCGCUUGCUUGCUUGCGCGUCUGAAGAUGGCGAGGUCGUCGUCGCCGAUGGCGAGGCAGCUGCAGCUGCUGCUCGUGGUGCUGUGUGCGUCGUGGCUGGCCUUGCAGGCGGCGGCGCAGAAGUACAAUGCGGUGUACAGCUUCGGCGACUCGAUCACGGACACGGGCAACCUGUGCACCAACGGGCGGCCGUCGGCGAUCACCUUCACGCAGCCGCCCUACGGCGAGACCUACUUCGGGAGCCCCACCUGCCGCUGCUCCGACGGCCGCGUCAUCGUCGACUUCCUCAGCACCAAGUACGGCCUCCCCUUCCUGCCCCCCUCCAAGUCCACCUCCGCCGACUUCAAGAAGGGCGCCAACAUGGCCAUCACCGGCGCCACCGCCAUGGACGCCCCCUUCUUCCGCUCCCUCGGCCUCUCCGACAAGAUCUGGAACAACGGGCCCAUCAGCUUCCAGCUCCAGUGGUUCCAGACCAUCACCUCCUCCGUCUGCGGCAGCAGUGAGUCCACAGUCCACCAUGCUUUUCUUUCCUUUCUUCAAAGCCCACCAUGUCUGCAGACUGCAGGGCAUGCUCUGCUCCUCCCUUAAUACUCUAGUACGAGCAGCAUAAUUUCCUGCGCCAUCCAGCUGUCUCCCCCGCCACUGCCACUGCCACUGCCAUGCCGCCAAUCAAGAACUUUACUCACUGUCCAUGGAGGCAUGGACCCUAGCCAUGCCUGCCUGAUUCUUGACUAGUCUUUCUGAUCUGAUGAUGCAGGCUGCAAGAGCUACCUGGCCAACUCGCUCUUCAUCUUCGGGGAGUUCGGGGGGAACGACUACAACGCGAUGCUGUUCGGCAACUACAACACGGACCAGGCGAGCACGUACGCGCCGCAGAUCGUGGACACCAUCUCCGCCGGCGUGGAGAAGCUGGUGGCGAUGGGGGCGACGGACGUGGUGGUGCCGGGCGUGCUCCCCAUCGGCUGCUUCCCCAUCUACCUCACCAUCUACGGCACCUCCAGCGCCGCCGACUACGACUCCCUCGGCUGCCUCAAGAAGUUCAACGACCUCUCCACGUACCACAACAGCCUGCUCCAGGCCAAGGUGUCCACCCUCCAGGCCAAGUACAAGUCGGCCCGCAUCAUGUACGCCGACUUCUACGCCGGCGUCUACGACAUGGUCCGGAGCCCCAGCAAAUACGGUACGUCUACAUGCCUACACACUAGUCAUAAUACGUACUGGAGGACAUGAUUUCAUGCACACGCCGGCGGCUAGUCUCGCCGUGGCGGCACUGUGGGUGGGUGGAUUUCAGUUUUCAAACUCGCCGUGGACCACGUCCUCCGUUGUCGGCGCAGAGCGUUUCUCGUUGUUGGACGCGCCCGUCACGCUCUGUCCUGGCAGUGCGGCAGCACCAGCACGGGACAUGCAUGCAUGGUGGCGGGAUUAAAUGAAGGAUUAUUCGGCGUUUAAGGCUCAUGCAGUGCCGCACUGCUGCACCACACCACUUGCUCUGCACUGCUGGCCGGUAGCGUGGUCACCACCACAUGCCCGUCCGUGCGUCCGUGCGUGCGACGGCCGUAGGGACGGAUUCCUGCCGUUAGCCCGGGCUGCGCGCUCCGGCGCCGGCCGUGGGAGCGUGAUCGUGUCCAGUGCCCAGUCCUGCCUGCACGCGGUCGAUCGCCGGCCGGUGAAUAGAAAACUAGGUCGCGGGCCGACACGGGCGCGCUCGUGAUCCCGAGCGAGUAACGACAUCCCAUCACGGGGAAAAUAAUGGCGGAUGCGCGGGGUUUGGUAGGCGCUGUUCCUUUAAAAUCGGCGCUACUUGCAGAAGCAAACAGCCGUUGCUCUGUUUCCCCAACCCAACACAUGCAUGCAGCCCCGGUGGCGGUGGGUGGUGAACGCCCGCCGGGACACACGCCACUGCUCCCGCACGUUGCCGAUCGGUCUCAAAACCCUCGGAAUCUUCGUACGAGGGAUCCAUCCAUGAUGGAUGCUGGAUAUUGCAGAGCAAGAAACCAAAACGAUGAACCAACGAACACUGUGGUGUGGUGUGGUAUGAUAUGAUUCCGAUUCAAGAUCUGACUCGCGUGGAUGUGGAAUGCAGGUUUCAGCUCGGUGUUCGAGGCGUGCUGCGGGUCGGGGGGAGGCAAGUACAACUACGCCAACAGCGCGAGGUGCGGCAUGUCCGGCGCCUCCGCAUGCGCCAGCCCGGCGUCGCACCUCAGCUGGGACGGCAUCCACCUCACCGAGGCCGCAUACAAGCAGAUCACCGACGGAUGGCUCAACGGCGCCUUCUGCCACCCCGCCAUCACCCACUAGCCACCCCACCUCAGUCCGUGCAUGCAUGCAUGGGCGCAUCAAAAACCUCAUCGUCGUCGUCGUCCAUGAAUCCAUAAUCAAUCAAUCAAUCAACCGAUCGAUUAUCAUUAUAUUAUUAUUAUAAUUAUUAUUAUUUGUUCAGUCGGGUUAACUAUCAUAACGUGUCUGGGGACCGGCCAAGGCUAAGGUUCCCGGUCUGAUCCGGUGGCAAAAGAAUCGGGGCGCGUCUGUGGUGACGAGUGAAGAAGGAAGAAGAAGAAGAUGACGGCAAGCGUCGUGGAAUAGUAGUGCGGCCCGUGCUGCUGUUGUUGUUGUGAACCUGUAACCUGAUAGUAGUAAUUGUUUUGUCCCAUGGAUGGAAAAAAAUAAUGAAAAGGAAAGAAAUAAUGCAAGGAACUUUCUGCCGUGGCGGCUAGGAAUUUGGUUUGGAUCUUUCGCCCUGGCGCACGGGGUCAUGUGUGGUGUGGUCGGAGCUUUUCGGUAAAGACACUGCACAAAUCCCGCCGACUAGUCUAGUAAGUAGACACUGUGGUGGUCGCUCGUCGGGGCAGAGCCCGUGACAACGACGGACAAACCUGGGCAACGGCUCCUAUCCUGUCCUCCAUGAUUGACAGGUGAACGGAGUACCGCUGAUCACCGUGGCGUUUCAUCUCCGUGGAACAGCAAGCUGCGUCCCAAACGGACGCACGAAUUUGUCCGUUUUUCCUUCGUUUGGCUCGACCGAGCGGACACCAGUGUCCGCUUUUUUAAAUGGAUCAGUCAGACCAGACCGUCCAACGCAGGUUCGGAUGCAAACAAUUGAUAAACAUAAUUAAACAUUAAAAGGCCGGUCAAAGCCGGCCCAAGUCCACAUAAAACAUAAUUAAACAUAAAUAAAAAAACGCGGACGCCCUCGGCCGUCCUACGCAUCGUCUUCGUUGUCGUCGUCGGGGAGGUGAGGUCGAUGAGCUCCGGGACCGGCCCAGCCCAAGGGAACGCUCCCUCCCACGCCUGAGCAGCGUCCUUGCCCGGCAGCAUCGACGGCGUAGGCUGAUGGGCUCGCUCCUCCUCCUUCCGCUUCCGACGCUCCGCCUCCUCCUCCUCCUCACGCCUGCGCUCGAGCUUCAUCUGCUCCGCCGCCUCGGCCUCCUCCCUCGCCAGUGCCAGCGACUUAUGAUGCAGGAGGUACUCUUUCUCCUCCUCCGUGCACACAUACCAGACGGGAGGCGCGGACAUCCACUACAGGAGCUGGCUAGUCCACUGGUAGGUGUGUGGCUGGCGCGCCUCGGCCUCAGCGGCCGGCGAAGAUCGAGGAGGGGGCACGACGCAGUCGCCCCCCGCGGACAGCGCAAGGACCUUUUCGAGACCUACCCAGCGCACAUCCUCUUCGCGCCUGCUCUCCUCGAUGGCGUAGGUUGUUGCCUCCUCCUCCUGCUCCUCUGGCAUCACUUGAGGGGGCGGUGGAGGGAUGGCCGUAUCGAACUGGGCGCCGUGGAUGCGCUCCCGCUCGUGCUCGACGGCGAACCAAACCUCCCAUUCAGGAGAGUCGGCCGCGUACGUCGGGUCGUGCCGCUGCUCUAGAGUGAGGAGCGCGCCGCCGGCGGACCUCCUCCGCGUGCGCGUGCAGACCGCGACACUGCUGGGAUAGGGAUGCGGUCGGGGUCCAGAUGCCAACCUUGGGGGAGGUUGACAUCUGGGUAGGACAAAGCUUGCAUGUACUGCCAGUGCCACCGAGCAUGGUGGACUGGGAUGUACACGCGCUCCCGCGAUGACGCCGACACCUUGGACGAGCUCGCGCCGGCGGUGAGCUUGCCCUUGCCCUUGCCGAAGAAGCCCAUGGCUAGGGUUGCGUGGUCGCUGUCGGGGAAGCAAGCGUGGCUAGAUGUGGACGGGAGGGGAAAGUGGAUGAGGCCGACCCCAACACACGCUUUGGAAUAAAAAAGGACCCAUGACCACCUUCCACCCACUGCCAGGCGGGCCCGUAGGUAGGUGGUUGCAUUUAAUACGACCGGAGAGUCGUUGGCCGGCCGACGAGUGGGGCCGAGGCGGACACGAACGGGACGCGCGGCGAGUCCGCUCGGCGUCCGCGACGACGCAAAUCCGCCCUAAAUGUGGACCUGAAAUGGGUUGACGCGGACAUGAAACAAACGCGAUUUGGGACUAGGUCGGCGCGUUGGGCGCCUGUUUUCGUCCGCUGCGACCCAAACGGACGCGGACGGACGAAAUGGUGUGUGGGGCGUCCACUUCGCGUCUGCGCCGAUGCAGCCAUGGUCGCCGACGCAUGGACCCGACGAUGACGGGCGUCAUAAAUUAUGUUGAUCGCGGUGGUUGGGACGGACACCGAGGGUGCGCGCGCGUCCACUUCACGUCCGCGCCAACGCAUUUCAGUCCCAAAUUUAGACCGAAAAUGAAUUGUCGUGGAUGCGUUUUGGCAAUGGGUCUACGCGUUGGACCAUCAUUUUUAUUCGCGCCGACCCAAACGAACGGCGACGGACGAAAUGGAUGGCAAGUUGCUCUUGGUGCGAGAUUCGCUCGUUAGGCGGAUAGGGUGCGGUGCACAGGCCAUUCGGACAGCGAGUGAUGUCGACUCGUGGGUCUUGACGGCCGAAUCUCUCUCAACCACCACGUCGAAUCAGCUUGAAUACAAGGGAGUGAGUGAAUGCGUACUCUUUCGCAAGUGGCCGACGACGCGGGGCGAAAGCGGACUGAGCUUUUCUUUGUUAGCUGGAGUCCGUGGACUUGCUAGACCCCAGAGACAGCUACGCGCUCUACCACAAGACCCAUCAUCAUCGUCAUCAUCCUUGCGAGCAGGAGGAUCCUUCCCAUUCAAUGCUGCCACCAACGUCUCUACUACUUCCCUAGUUGGCGACACGGCAGUGUCAUACCGGUGUCGGGAACUCGAGGAUGGCAUCUUGGCAAAAAAAAGGAUUCAAUCGAGCAGUCCAUAUCCUUUACUCCAAUCUUUCAAGAAUGAGCUGAUUGGCGCAGAAGGCAAAAGAACGUAUGGGGCGCUACUCAAUUUGUACUACCGCAUUUUUUUUCCCUUCUAUACAACAAAACUUUUGUCACGACGACGGCGCAUCCGACGGUAAUGAUAAUACAGUUGUGGUUAAAAAGCAGGGUAAGAAUGCGCUGCAACUGCGGCGUGGUGUGGCGCCGCGCCUGAAUCGCACGACGCAGCUGUCUCGUCAGUGUGCCUGGUAUGCUCUUGCAAAACGGCAAUCAUUGUACGUACUACCUGGUGACGGAAUCGAAUCGAAUCGGAUGGUGUAGGCACCCCAAGAAUCUAUUGGGUCAACCGACCAUUUGUGUCAUCAUCAUGGCACGUCCAUCGCCUGGUCCAUGCCUCCAUGGCUGGCUCCCUGUGUCUCCAGACCAAGCAAGCAUCACUCGUCAUCGGUUUCGGUUUCGGCCGCCUCCGUCGGACCACCGGUGCACUCUUUCCGCCGGUGAAGCUCCAGCAUCUUUACCUCUGGGUGGCAUAGCCCUGGAUGAGAGCAGACAGAAACGCGUUACAUUUACGGAUGCGCCUUCUGGUAAAAGGUCGUGGCCCCGGGGCAGAUAAAAUCUUGAAUGUGAAAGAUCCACAUUUCAUCAAGCGCUUUUGCUCUGGUAAAGUCGGGUCAAAGAUAGAAAUUAAUGAAGGAAAUAACCUGAACAUUUUGGGAUGUCCCAGACGGCAAUCGAGGAUGCCGUGCACUCGGGCUCGCAGAGGGCAUGGGUGUUCUCGUGGUUGACGUUCAUAGCAAGCAUCCAGGAUCCAAUGGUAACGUCCUCGUUGUUGAACAUUCGGAAACUGGACAAAUAUAGGUAAGAAUAUGUUAAACAAACAGAUACAUGCUUCGGUUUGAGGUUGGACAAUGAUGCAAAGCAACCGGCUCACAAUAUAUUUAAAAUAAUUUAGGUUAAAAACUGUCAAUUUGCGACUGUAGCCUACUACAGGCAUAAUAACAUUACAAUUGUGACUCUUUACUGUAGCUCUAUAACCAGUCCAGCCACAGGAAAGGAAAGUUCGCCUAACCACAUCAUUUACUAAUAGCUGAAAGAGACAUGACCACAAGCCCUAUCCAUGUCAGGUAUAACUUUCACGCUUUGGCAUAUGCUUUCAACAUGAGGGAAUCUGGCCAUAACUAACAUAUCACAAAAUAUUGCAGCCUGUAUAAGGAAUGUUCCCUGUCAAGACUUGUUUUCAAAUUGACACUAGGGACUGAAAAAAUGUUUUAAGCUCGUUGCCAAGCAGUCAAUGACAAACUGACACCAGGGGAGUGAAAAAAUGUUUUAAGCUCGUUGCCAAGCAGUAGGGCAUUUUGCUGGCACUUCAUGACUAUAGCAUAUUAGCAUGACUACUUGAUAGUUGGUGCUAGGGGCGAAUUGCACCUCACCAUCGCAAAGAUAACACAAGUUGUAAAGUGUCAUUCAUGUGUCACUAACAUGUGGCCCCAGGGCACUUUUUAGGUAUACAUCUUUCUGUGGUACUAAGUUAAAAAAAAGUUUGGUACCAGUUGGCUUGCUGAGACCCAAAAAUAAUAUUUACUGGUACAGCUAAACAUGCUUAUGUGCAAGAUGGCGAGUUUUAGAAUAUUUACCUGUUGUUUCUCAGAGCAACCAAGCUUGCCACCACAUCAGCUGAUAAAGCAUAAAUAGGCCCAUAUGCAUGAAGGAAGUAUUCUGAUCCAAGUAGGAAGGACUGUGGCUCAUACCUGUGUUCAUCAAAAGAGCACAAUCAAGAACAAUAAGUAGGCAGCGACGAGUGCUACACAGUAUAAUUGCCCCGGUAGAGUGUUCGCAAAUACAAAAAAAAAAUGGUAUGAAUUGCGCUCUAGGUCCCUGAACCUAUACACUGUAUGUUUUAUAUACCCCUAAACUUGCAGUUCCAUUUAGAGACCCCCCCCACCCCACCCCACCACCACCACCACCACACACACACUCACCAACCGGAUCCAGUUAUUAAAUGAAAACACAUCGAUCACACGCAGGUUCAAACAGUAACAAAUCCGGGAACAUACAAGCCCUGUUGUGAAUAUAGGCAUGACCGUAACUACACAUUUUGCAUCCAAGUUUGUUCCUGUUAUUCCAAACCCUGAACAAAGGGAUUCACUAAAUACACAAUUUGCAUCCUCGUUUGUUUUGUUAUUCUAAACACUGAACAAAGGGGUUUACCAAGUACUGGUAUGUGGUAUCGUGUUUGAUAUCUUAAUAUACCAAUUACCAAACAUAUACAGCCUUAAGUUUAGUACUACUGCCACCUUUUGCAUGUUUUUUUAAGUUAAUUUUGAUGUGUUAGUAGUACAGAGAACUGUUAACUUCAGGGAUCACAAAUAAAUUGCAAGAUCGGGAAUCUAACUGAUAGAACCAUUAAUAUUUCGUGAAAUAACAGAUUGAGUUACAUCAAGUGUUGAUCCAAGUGAUACAAAUAGAAGUUCAGAGAUAGGAUCAUAUCAAAUUGCAAGGCUACCAACCUAACUAACACAAAUAUGCAGGUUUAGGAACCAAUGGCCAAAUUCACUCAAAUAAAUGUUUCACCUAGGUAGCUAAUAUUGGUUGAGCUUACAUCAAGUCAUCAAAUAAGUUAGUUUCACUCCUUAACUACAGAUAUGAGUGACAGAAGACAAAUAUCCUAGUUUUGGAUGCACGAAAAGUUAUCUUUGCCCUGUCCAUUAACCUUUCGCACAUACUUGCAAAAUUCACUAUCGUGAAUGAUAAGACUCAUAGUCAGCAUAAAUAGUACUUCCUCCGUACCUAAAUACUCCCUCCGUCCCAAAAUUCUUGUCUUAGAUUUGUCUAGAUAUGAAUGUAUCUAGUCAUGUUUUAGUAUUUAGAAACAUCCAUUUCUAGAUAAACCUAAGACAAGAAUUUUGGGACGGAGGGAGUAUAAGUCUUUUAAGAGAUUUCAUUAAGGGUCUACAUACGGAACAAAAUGAAUGAAUCUACACACUAAAGUAUGUCUAUAUACAUCCUUAUGUAGUUCACUAGUGGAACCUCUAAGAAGACUUAUAUUUAGAAACGGGGGGAGUAUAUUCAAUUAUCCAAAGAUAACCAACUUUCUCCAGGUCAUAUGUCGAUGCUAAGCAGCACAUAGCAUAUUCACCGAGGAAAACAAACUCCUUGAUAUUCCUAAACUAAUCGAGAGGAGAUCAUUAUCAAACAUCCAAACUUUGUCCAACAUCACUUAGGCCUCCUACAACUGAUUAGGCAAUAAGGUUUGUACACACAGAUGGUGAGCUUUGUUUUCCGAAAUUAAUGCAUGUCAAAGUAAGCUGAAGCUUAACACUUGAAGAAACAUUAGCAUUCACGUGCAUCCAUAGUGUGUUUUUUUUUAUACAAAAUUACCAUUUUUAACUUUUUACUGGUCACUUACACUGAAAUAUUAUCUUAUAAGUUGAUCCAGACAUUUAAAAAUAUAUCAGCAAUCAAAGUUAGAAAUAUUUGACAAGAAAAAAUACAGAACAGACAACUGGAGUACAUUAUUAUCGGAGAGAGCAGAACUUGACAAAAGGCAUAGCCACUAAAGGUAGCGAGCAUGAUUUUUUUUUAGCCAAACCAACCCUGACCAGAUUUUGUAUCCAGAAGCCUUAACCACUUAAAAACAGUCCAUUACCUCAUUCCAUGGUAACCAUUGCAUACCCUUCCAAUACUCGAGCACAAUUGUUGGCUCUAAACGACAUAUAUCUCAGGAAGCUCAGAAAGUAAUUAUGAAAAAACAUGCGUAUAUGGAAGUACUAGACCCAAUCCAAAAGAGUUAUCAUCGCUGAACAUAGAAAAACAAAUUUAGGCCCUUACAGCAAAUGUUGCCUACUAGACCAAUCCAUGUGAGCCCCACUACUUCCUUAUAUCCUAUGAUAUGAAAGCACUAGACCCAAUCCAAAACAGUUAUCAGCGCUGAACAUAGAAAAAAAAAUAGGCCGUUAUGGUAAAUGUUGCCCACUACUUCCAUAUAUCCUAUGUGAGCUCCACUACUUCCAUAUAUCCUAUGAUGUAAAGCAGGAAGUGGCGUACAAUCAAUGCAGAGACACCAUUACAGGUGAAACAAGGAUCACUGACGGCACCACUCCUUGCCCACCAGACAAUGCCAAUCAUUUUGAUUUCAGACAACUAUAAUGAAUCUUAACACAAAUACUUCUGAGACCAUAAGACUACAGUUUUGAUGCAAUACUUAUGCUGUAGAAUGAAAAUUCACUUCUCGGUCAGGUUUUGCAGUAUUAGCUACUUUCCAUAUAUUUAGCAUGUAACUGUAUGUAUUGCUUCUUAGAGUUAAACAUCCCUUACAAGGAAAAGUGUUGGGUAAAAAAUGAAAAGAAGAAACUAACCAUUUCAAUUUGGGAUCAGUGAAAACAGGCCCCUUCUUCAUGCAUCCAAUGUAUGUUUGUGGGUGUGGACGUUCCUUCGCCAAAAGCAAGGAGAGUCUAUCUGCAGAUUAGAAAUUGAUGAUGGAAGUGCCAACCUUUCAAAAAGAAAAAAAUGUGCAUGUUGGUCAAAGCUACUAAGAGCAUAUAUCUUGAAUAUCGUUAGUUUCUUGCUCACCUGGUCUCAAGUAAAUGUCAUCGUCAGCUUUAACAUAGAAAUCAGAAUCAAAUAACGCAUAGGCAGCCUUAAAGAAUGCUAACCUAAAACAUAAGAUCAAAUCAGUUUCCAUAUGAAGAGAUAACGCAAUGAUAUGAUACUAGUUAAACUGUUUACGUUUUGUAUGGAAGCCUGCUAUACUCCUCCUCGAGAUCUAAAAGCACAAAAUCAUCAUAUUCUUCAACCUCUCUUUCAAGAGCUGUCAUCUUAGACUUGUCAUUGCUUUUGCCGAUCACAAAUCUGAAUGCCAGACCAGUAGCUUCCUCCAACCUGCAUUAAAGUGAACACAAUGAGAACUGCAAGAGCACUUAAGAAGCAGCAUCACUGGAUAGAAACCAAAAUAAAAACUAGUUGUGACAAUCAUCAAGCAACAUAACUGGGGUCACAUUUAUCACUAGAACUCUAGAAGCAAAUGUAAAAAUUCCCUGUACAAAACAAUAGAUUGUCCAGCUUCAUGCAUUAUUCUUCAAACUCAAGAAAGAAAAUAAUUAAUCACUAUUCAUCAGUGCUAAUGAGACAGAGUCCAGCAAUUCAAAAGGAUCAAUACCGUUCUUCUAGAGUAGUAGCAUGAUUCCACUAAAAUCAUGAGUAUAUCGCAAACUCGCAGGAGUUAUGUCUAGAGAACCACCAACGCAGAAGAAUUGGCAAGUCUGAUGCCACAGCAGAUAACUCAUAAUCAAACUCAAGGAGCAAAUAUAGAAACAAAUGAAUCCAAUAUCCAUAUGAUCGAUAAGGCGAACUUUCCAUAUGAAUGGAUGAAUGAAUUAGCCAGCUCUUGAUCAUAAAAAUUAAUUGACCAGCAAUGACUUAUGUUAGCGAACGAGAACUAUAAUAGGCACGGGAUGAUUCGAAUACACCGCAGUCAAAAACAAAAUCUAGAUCACAGAAAUGGACGAACGGAAUGCUAGGUAACCAACCAGAUCAACAGUCGAGCGCUAAAGCUAGAUCUCGAGCAACACAGGCGAACAUGAACUAGGAAGCUGCGGUACCAGCGACAACUAACCGAAGGAGGCCCUGCCGAUCGGAGGGGAGCCACGUCCGCCUGAGCGCGCGGCGGCGGCCGACGGAGCCGAACCCGGUGAAGAUCCCGACGAAGGCCAUGACCUUGUGCCUGCCGCGCGAUCCGGUGGCGUGGCCCGCCGGGAACUCGGUAGCGCCGCCCGCGGCAUCCCCGGGGCGCCGGUCCCAGGCGACGGAGACGGAGAGCGGGUGGGAGGAGUCCGGGCAGCGGCCGCGCGGGGCCUCGGCUGGCCCCCGGGAGAGGGAGACGGCAGCGGCGAGGAACCCGGUGAGGCCGAAGAGGAGGCAGGCCGCGGAGACGGCCGGCGAGGAGAGGAGGCGGCGGAGCGAGGAGCGUCGCGAGGCUGCGGCCGCCGAGGAGGAGAACACCUUGGGCGAGCUGGGCAUGGCUGCGACCGCGCUGCCCUGCCGCGAGUGUGGCGGGCGGGGGCCGGGGCUGCGGCCGGUUGGUGGGGCAGCGGCGGCGUCAGAUCGGAGAAGGGAGAGUGGUGGCGGAGCGGAAAAUGGGUGCGCGACAGUGUGACGGCAGAUCGCCCGUUUUGCAUUGGUUUUUUUUUUUAAUGGUUGCUUUGGGUUGUUGGUGUGGUGUGACUGGAAAUGGUGUGUGUGCUGGGCUGGGCUGGGCUUGGUGCCUUGGUCUAGAACUCUAAUUUUUUUGGAAGCAAUCUCUUUACUAUUAAAGGGGAUGUGCCGUUGUCGUGAUGGUUCAACUGGUUUGAUCUCCCACCCUCCUAUUGAUACCUUCCCCACCCACAUCCUUUCAUCGAUUUUUUUUAUCCCUCCGAAAACCAGUGGCGAGUAAACCAGCGAACCGGGCGGACCAGAGAUAAGAAACCACCUCCUUCGUUCGUGACCAACUCCUACGAUCGCCAACAAAAAAAGAACUGCCCGAAACAAAGCAAGCCCACGCACGAACACAGGGAUCGUUCCCCACCCACGACUCCAUCUGUACGCCACCAAAAUCAACCGGCGAUCUCUUUAGCGCUGCAUCGUUCGCGUCGCGCUUCUUCCUCUGUCCAUCGACGAUCCGCCCCCCACCGCUACAUCGCCCCCUCAAGCCAGAUCCGCCGCUCCUGGCCCCUAGCACUCAGCCGCGACCCCCCUCCCCUGUGCUUAGGGUUUGUGCCAGACAUCUUCUCGAACACCAGCGCGACUCCAGCGACCUUGGUCGGUCCUUUCUAUCGCUUACAACGGCAUCUCGCACCUCCAAGUUCCCGGCGGCGACUGUGUGGACCAUGACGGCGGCUACGAAUCUGAGCUAAACACCACCUCGCACUGCGUUCGCGAACCGGUGGAUGCCUAGAUCCAUCAUGACCACACGUUGCUUCGGCCGUCAUGAAGGGCCUCAAGGAGGUUCUAGAGGUCUGCCCUCCUCUCUCGCCAUCUCUUACAAUUUUGUGUUAUUCUAUGUCGAUUCAGUUACAGUAGGUUAUACCUGGUUGAUGAACAAAUGAAUGCAUAAUAAGUGCUUAAUUCAGUUAGAGAGAAAGCUAAACUAAAUUGCAAUUUAGAUGUAUUCUCAUUGUAAGGUCAACAUUCAAAUACAUACAUACUUGCCUGUAGUUCCUAAUUUCUCCACGCACAAACAUUAUUGGGUGUACCAUUGACCGAAGCAAUCCAUCACAUUAAACUUUUGAACCUAUAAUUUGUGACGUAUUUUUAUGGGAUUGGUUAGAACUCAUCUAGCCGAGACAUAACUAUGGUCUCAUUCACCUUGUAUUUUUAUAAGGAGCAUGACGUCAAUCCCUCUCGUGGCUACCAGUGGAGAGGGUCAGCUGUCAUGUGUUCCUGUUGGUGGUUUGAAUGGCGCCGCCAACACCGCCUGAUGCUGGGUCAACAGAUGUCGCCCCCCGUGCCUGUUGCCGCCCCAUGCUGGAUUACCUCUACCAACGAAGCCACCCUCAAACUAGAGAAGUCAAAGUUGAUCGGCCGCCCAUGCCAUGGUGCUCACCGAGGUUCCAGACCGCAACAAGGCCGGCUUGUUCUGAGAGACAUGCCUCAUGAACACCUAUGAAUGCACGAUCCUCGAUCUUCCGCCACCAGAAUUCUGGUACGUUUCAUUGCAUGAUAUAUCAUUGUGGUUAUUUUUUUUAGAUUAGCUUAACCCAUCGAUUGGCCAUGCCCUGCUUUAUGGUAAUCUCUCGAUGUUUUAAACUAUCAUUAUUAAAGGAGGAUCUGUUGUCGUGAUGGUUCAACCUAUUUAUCCCCUUCAGUUCCCACGUAUGAACGCUCUCACACCAUCGCACUAGCCAGAAAAAAAAUCAACCCCACCUCUAACGCGAGAACCAACCCAAGUCAGAUGGGAAAAAACAAAGACGCUAUUAUGAACAAACUGCAGGCACGCACUAUCACGCCAUGCCCCCACGAUCCCUCCCAACUACUCCUCACAAUCGCAGCAAUCCCCUUCCUCUCGUUGUUUCCUCUGCCCCAAUCACUCUCCUCGAGACGAGAUCUCUACAAUCCCCCUCCUCCAGCUGCCUCCCCUUCUCGAAUCACUCUCCUCGGAGGGCCAAGCGAGGAGCUGAAGUAUACAAGACCGUACGGGUGGAGUAGAUGGCUGGCCAGCUCUGUCUAAUGCGGCCUGCCUCCUUGAGGGCCUCACUGUUGACGACUACGCAGUGUAGAUGGGGACCCGGGAGGGGUUGGAGGAUGGGUGAAGUUGCCGUUGUAGUUGACCCGUGGCACCGUCGGUGAGAUACGACCCACUGCUGGAGGGAAGGAAGGAGCCAAGGACGCCCAGCGCUGCCGCGAAUCCCAUCUUGAUAUUCGUCAACACUGGCCAAUUCUGGCCUGAAGCUUUCGCUGUCAGGUACAUCCACCUGCAAUUUCCAGAAUCUGCUUUGCUCUUGUGCGCUUGAAUUCUUAUGGGCAGUUGCAAAUUGUAACGAACUGAAUCAGAUGUUGUUUCUUAUGAACUUAACCGAAUUUCAUUUUAGCUUUAAUUUUGAAUGGUGUGCUCAUCAAUUGAAGAGUUCUAUGAAGAGGAGGACAGCAAUGACGAGGACGUCGAGCUGGUGGAACUACCUGGCUGUAGGGACACGCAUCAGCUUUUUUGGUCAGUCAACUCAAAGGUUCGCGUAAUGUCUUUAGCUUAUGUAUAUUAGUAUGUAGCCUGUGGAACAAGGUAUGCUUAAUUUGUGAGAAAUUUGAAGCUAAGUUAGGUUCAUAUGUUUUUCGAAUAACAGAAUAUAUAGCUUUCCAUCUCAGUUUCAGCAAUUCAAGUUUUGGCUGACCUUUUUGCAAGCAUAGCAGGCUGUUCGAAUUUGGCCAGUAGUGAGGAGGGAAACUCCAUAUCCAUCCACUCGUUGAAACAUCAUACUGCUAAGAUUAAUAUUGAACAUUAAGGUUGAUCUAACUUUUGCUAAGCAAACCAUCAUGCUUGAGGUUGAGGUUAUUUUCCUAUCUUUAGAAGUAUGAUUUAAGGAUAGUGGGUACUCUUGUUACAAGCAUAUUCAUCAUUCUAUUCUAUGGUAUUUUCUCUGUGUCGUUUUAGAUUGGAGAACAUUCAGAGAAAUGAUAGUUGUAUUGGAUUGGAGAACAUUCAGAGAAAUGAUAGUUGUAUUAAAUUGGAGAACAUUCAGAGAAUGAUAAUCUUGGCAAGCGUUUGCUUUUUCUGUUCUAAUUUACUACUCAACGCGAUAAAUAAUAAAUAAAUAAAUAUGAGACAGAAGUUCUACCGUAACAUAUUUUGUGAUGGUACUAGCUAUCCUUGAAACAAUAUUCACACAAAAGACACAUUCCUUCAAGUUUUCUUGCUCAUUCUACUAUUGGUUGUUGACAUGUUACAGUUGACUGAUGUUCCGUUGUUACAUGUCAAUAUGCCCCUAUAUUUGCACCAUUGUUAGUAAAAUUUAUUUCUAGACUUUAUGUCAUUUGGGCCUCAUUUUAUAUUUUGACCAAAUCAUAUUUUGAACUCAAUUUAUUUUAUUUUAAAAUUUCCGGUCAAAUCUAUUAAUGUGCAUGAUGCCACUUAGAAUUAUUUUGUAAUUACUGCUACGAAUAAAGAUUGGUUCUUCUAUGAUAUUUUAACAUGUUCUUGCCUCUCAUAGGUCCACUCACACACAGACUACACUCAAUAGUUUCCAUGCGUGCACUUGCAUAUAUGUGUAUAUGCAAUGCUAAUUCUUUUAUCAGGUUGGCAAAGCAUGAGGAUAUACAUCUGCCUUUCCCCACCUAGAUGGUCUCUUCCUUGAAAUAAAUGUAUGUUGUUUUGUUGGCCGGCCGACAAUAAUUUUAAUUAGUUGAUCGCUCACUCAGAACUCAAAUAUCUUACAGUAUUGUGCAUUAGCAUCAUAUGAAAACUGAACUUCAAGUUUGCACUGGCUAAUUGGCAAUCCCUUGUAGGAUAAACCACACCACCCUUUGGACUGCCCGCCGUUGAGUUGGACCGGACUGGACAAACCAGUCGAACGGCCUGGAUUUCGUUGACCAGACCAGCGGCGCUCUGGCCCGGGCGACUCGCUGCCGUGUGCCGUGAACGACCAGCACAGGGCACGAGCGGGAGGGAGGAAUGGAAGAUCACAAGGAUGGCAAUGGCGAGGUCAGCAAGGCUUGUGGAGGACGGGAGCAUGGUCAUGGAGCUCGGCAGCGGCUGCCAAAGUAAUGACGUAUGGCGAUGUUGGGAGCACGCUGGAGGAAGUGCUGCUCAUCACGGACAUGUCCUGCAGCUUCUGGAGCACCGAAGGGAGCUUGAUGGAGCAAGGAGAGAUGUAGGGGCGUGGUGGCGGCGAUGAGCUUGGUGAAUUUUCCUCAGGUUUAGCAUUUGAUCAAAUGUCAUAUUUUAAAUUAAAUCAUGUGUUGCGAUUGUAUUCUUCAUGAUUUUAAAUUAAGCAAUCUCUUAAUAUUGAAAAUAACAAAACAAUUUUAAGAUAGUUCUUAAUUUGGUUUAGGUUGCAUUUUAGAAGAAAAACAAUUCUAAGAUUUUUGACGUACGUGCACGUGUGCUACACCAUAUAAUAGGCAACCUGCAUUGCACAUGCUCAAUUAGGCCAAUAUAUUUUAUAGGACUAAUAUGCCAGUCGUUAAGGUGGUUUAUAGGGCAAGUAAGUGAUGUAAAAUGUGACUCUGAUGUUGUACUAAUGUAUAGUACCAUGAGUCGCUUCUACUAGGAUUCAUUAACGGGUAUACAAAAAAGGAAGGUUUUGGUUCUACAAGAGAAACAUUUUCUUGUCGCGUGUGCACUCGAUUAUUUGUAUAAGGCAGUUCUAAAUGUUAGGGGUUAAAAUUAAUUUCUAUAUAAUAUGGUUAUUUAUUUAUUUCAGAUUAAUGUCAUCGUAGUUUAAAAAUCAGAAGUGUGCACAAAGGAUUUGGAAAAGUAAACGAAAGGUAUAUUCCUCAUUAGUUGUCGAAUUAUUACAAGAACGAUGGAUGAAUCGAUUCUUUUCUUCUAUGUAAUUCUGUAGUUAGUCCUCCUAGAUUAUUACAAGAGUGUUUUCACUACCCCGUGAGACAACUAAUUAUCAAUGAUAUUUCUAUGAGAUUGUAGCUGUGAAAAUUUCAUGCACAUCUUCCUUUGGUACAUGUCAUAUUGUUUAAUUUGCGUCUAUAACUUCUCAUGAGUGAUCAACUUAACUUUCUUCCUGACCUUUCAUAUUUAUUUGUGUCGACUUUUUGUAAUGCUUUCUUGGGUCACCACUGUAGUUGUUUAACAUGGGCUCUUGACCAUGCAUUUAGAAUUCAGAACAUAGUUGAUUUAUUUGUUUUAGUCUUAUUCUUAGAAAAGAAGGGAUCUCAUGUGCUAUGCGGUGUCGGAUUGACAAGAACGAGAGGAAAAAUAAAUUAUGGAACUGGGUAGGUUACUACACUGAUGAUCUAAAGAAAGGCUCAUCGAUGGUUUAAUUUUGUAUACAUGAAUGUCUAAAUUGUUCUUAUGCUGAAUAAAAAUAUUUUUAGUGCAAUAAUAUAAAGAACCGGUGCUUAUAUCAUAACUUUAAAAUACCAGAGAUGAUUUUCCUAUGUGCAUAGGCUGCUCAUGAGUUUGUAGAAAGUAUCAUAAUGUUUAGACCUGAGCCUCUCUGAAAAGACUUGUUGUAAUAAAAUGCUUUAAUAGUAGAGAUAUACGCCAUAUAUGAAGAGAAGACAAAGAAACGAGGCAUGGUUUUAUAUACAUUCGCAUGAUUAAGAAUUUAAUAACUAGAAAAGGUCAAGCACUAUCCUCAAUUUCAGUUUUCGUGGGGCAUGUAUAUUUCUGUUUUCUUUUGUUGGAAAUGCAUGUUCUUGUUAUUUUGUAAGAAAUAAAGCCUGAAGAUCAUAAUAACUCAGAUACAUAUACUGAGCUGCUUGUUAGCUAUUACCUUGUUUAUAAACUUGGUGGAGAACCUAUGUAAACAAUAUCAUCUUAAAAACGUAUUGAUAACAUUUGUUGCGAACAGGUUUAUGUUCUAAAAAGAACGGACCCAACUAACCAUUGAUAAGAUUUAUCGGGAUGCUUGGAUUUGCAGGUUGCUUUAAACUAUGAUAAGUAGUAAAAUGGAGCCGUCUUGGAAGAAAAGGUUUAACUAGAGAAGUUAAAACCUGUUAUUCCACACAAUGGCACUCGGUGGGGAGGAAGGGACAUGGAAGGAUCUGUUGCGGUGUGUAGACUGCAUGAAGAAUUGUUGGGAUCCUGUGUUUGACACAACACAUUCACUGAGCGGAUAUAACAUAAUUUCGUCAAAUAUGUAUAUGUCUUUGUUGUUCCAUACCAAUGGACCUACAGUAGUGUUCAUACACCUACUCACAUACAAUGACCAUGAAUGUGAAGCCAAUACCUCUCAAGCUGUACAAGAUUUUGUCAAGAGAAUAAAACUAUUUUUUCAUGUAGACCCAUGAUCUUAACUAUGUUCACCUUGAGUUUGAGUAUACUUUGUUUUCUAUGAGUGAAUAAGCACUAUUUUGUUGUAACACAAUCAUAAGCAGCAUGUUUUAAUCAAUGUCUUCAUGUUCAAAUUUGUUGUUCCGUGGCAACGUACGGGCAUUCAACUAGUUUAUUAUAAAGACUUAAACCAAAUCACUAGUGGGAAACCUUUUGGAAGGCUUUGUGGAAAAUUCAUGUUCAACAUAUUAUCAGGAUCUUCUGAUGGAGGGUGUUGAAAGGUUUUCUCCGGGGAGUUAAUCAGAAGCAUGUUGUCCUUUUAUGGACAUAGCAAGGAGACACUUUUUCAUGCGCUUGUAAACACGGGCGGAGCCAGCCCAAGUGGCUGGGGACAUUAAUAUUUGGCUAACUGAGGACCCAACUAGUAAAACAUUAGAUUUCAUAGUAAUAAAAUAGGAAUUGACUGGGUGCCGGGGUCCCCACUCAGCCCAACGUGGGUCCGCCCGAGCUUGUAAAAUGUGAUCAUGCGAUGUUGGAUGAGGCAAGGAGUUUCUUUGGCGUAAACCUUCCUCGGCUGCACCCAUUAACUUGGGACAAAUAUAUGCUAAUAGAUCCCCAUGUCAAUCGAUGGAGAUGUUUGCCGCCAUUGCAAUUUUCGUGAUGUGGAAAAUCGAAAAUAGUCUAAACAAAUACGCUCACAAAGAGAUGGUAUAUCAAUUGAAGCGUUUGGUGGAGGUGAUGGAGGAUCUCAUAAGAGCGUUGGACAUCAUGUCGAGUUUCCAUGUUAUGUCACCAGCAAGAGUUAUAUGUAAAUCAAAACGUUCAAAUUCUACUAUAUGUUGCUACAUUUUAGCUUUCUUCAUUAUUGUGUGCCAGCAUAAGCACCUACGUCUAAUAUCACUAGAUUGCCUUUUGCACAAGAUCUCAUUGAAAUCAUGGAUGCAAACCCAAGGGAGAUAGCCAAGAGAGAUGUUCUCCAUGCGAGAAAAUUUCACAGUGUCCCAUUUUUUGUAUGUCCGGCUCCGGGGUUGCUUUAGCAUACAAACAAGAAAGUUGCCAUUGAACUUUGCCCAGUUCCAAGAUAAGUGAGUCAAUGUGCUGGUAUGAAUAGCUAUUUAUUUCAAGACAAAUGGGGUUAUUCCAAAACACACACGUUCCACUACUGUGAUCAUUACUUCCAAAUGCAAAACUACAAUUAAAACCUACCUCCACGUGGCUCUUCAAAAACUGAGUUUCAACUAUAUAAAUGACCAUCAACACAUAUGCCUUCGCGAGAUCAUGAAGCUCAUGAACUGUCAAGGAAUCGCCAAUUCUGUGGCAGUUUCAGCAUAGGGGUUCUCAUUGAUCCUGGCAGCACCCCUCUAGGGAGCCUGUUUUAACUGAUCUACGUGUUCUGUUCUUGGCACCUAUCAUGGAUCUCUUUGUAGCUUGCUUUAGAGGGAGCUUGGGGGAUAAAUAUCGCACCCGACAACGAAACGACCCCACACAUUAGACUAUAUUUCUAGCCUACUAACACAUCAAUUGCAGUUGUGUUCACAUCGUUUGCAUCAGUCAUUGCAGUUUCGAAGUCAUCUUUGUCAUCAACAACCCUCUUUAAGUUUUUUAUCAUCGCCAUCCAUAUCAUCAUCCGAGGGCUCCUACUCCUCUACAAGAUUCUUGUGAUAAAAUGAAUCAAUAUCACCAGGCCGGCCUGAACGACCACCCCGUCUCCCAGAACCACCACGAUCCCGACCACUAGAGGGCCGGCCAGUCUUCAUGCUCCAACUCGCGCGAAGAUUCUUAAAAACAAUCGUCGAGGCGGGAUAUAAGCCAUCACCAUGCUCUUUGUAGACAUGGCCAAAUAUGCAACAGACCAUACACCUAUCCAGUAGCAUCUCGUGCUUUACAACGACCAACUCGCUGCGGUGAGCGUAGAAUAGGAAUUUUGCGCCGAGUGUGUGUUGAGGAAUCAGGGCAGAACAACACAAAUAAUGUGGGCCUUUGCAGGAGGCUGCGCUCAGGAGUGUGGGCUGGGCCCUCAAGCCCACUAUGCGAGCACGGCGACGGCGUCACCCACCUUGAAAUACCCCGCCUUGGCGCCCGACCGUAACCGUCCCAACCAACCUCUUCUCCCCGUCGCCGGAGCACCAAGAUUCCAAGAACCCCACCUCUCCUUCCCCGCUCGGUUUCUCCCUCCACCGCGCACCUCUACUCUCCGGCGUAUCCGGCGACCGAUGGAGCAGUUCCAGACGGCCACCACGUGCGGCUGCGGAGCCGCCAGACCGGCACGUACCUGCACGCCGACGACGACGGGCGUCGCGUCUCCCUCAGCCGGCGGCGCGCGUCGAUGAACGAGGCUUGGGCGGUGCACUUGUUCCAGCCCCCUCAGGCGCAGGUGCGGUACCUACUCCUCCACAGCGCCGCCUACGGUCGCUACCUCGCCUCCACGGACGCGCCGGCGCCGCGCACUUGUUCCAGCCCCCUCAGGCGCAGGUGCGGUACCUACUCCUCCACAGCGCCGCCUACGGUCGCUACCUCGCCUCCACGGACGCGCCGGCGCCGCGAGGCCACAGCGGGCUCCGCGUCGAGCAGUGCGACUACGAGCCGUGGGAGGAGGAGGCCAUCAGGUGGCAGGCCGUAGGGGUCGACUCCGGGAACGACGUCCUGCUCCGCAACGUCGCCGGCCGCCUCCGCGCCAACGGGAGGUACCUCAGCGUCGACGACUUCAACAGCACCGGCACGAUGAUGCACUGGGUCGUGGAGCGCAUCCCCGCCAGGAACGACGCGCCUCGUCUUGCAGCUCCGACUGGGGUGAGUCCGCCAUGCCCGCUGCUGCUUCAUACUUCUCGAACUGCUUUCAGCGGAACUAUCGAUUGGGCGAAUUGGCUUCUUGGAUGCCGUUAAUUUGCGUCAGAAUUCAACCGCGGGGAUUGCAUAUUGCGUCAAUUUCAUUCUCCUGGGAGCAAUUCUUGCCAAAUUUGCGCCAUGCCCGCUUCUUGAUUCUUCCCGAAUUUGGUUCUUGGGGAUUCAGUUGGGGAUUUGUGUUUCCGAUCAAAGAAUUCAGAACAGUACCCUGCUUCGCAUUUGAUGGUUCUUUGGAACUGCAGCUCCGCCUUCCCAGAAGCCUCGACUUCGUGUUGCCGUGGAGGGUGAUACAGUACGAGCAGGAGGGAGCCGAGGAGUCCAAUGUCGGCUUCGCCUGGGAAUCACUCGUAUUCAGGGGCAGGUCCGCAUACCACUUGAGGAAGGAGCUGGCCAGUCGGCUGGGUGUCGCCAUGGACGUCUCCAACCUCGUCAUGUGCGUCCGAGCAGGUAUGCACGGGCGGCUUACCCCACUGGUCGUCGACUUGCCCCACAGCCGCGAGACCCUCGACAUCAUCGUCGUCAUGGCCGGGACGCCAGGUGAGACGCGCCAUUGCCGCAUUAAUUUACAUGAUCAGCUUGUGUUAUGAAACUGUCUGAAGAACACUUUACUGAAACUGUUGUAUUCUGCAUAAUCUUGUGGUCCAUACCUCAUUUGCUAGUGGUCCAUACCUCAUUUGCUGCAUUGACAUGAUCAGCUUGUGCUGGAAAACUGUCUGAAGAACAGUUUUACUGAAACUGUUGUACUGUAUUUUGCAACCUGCUGCUAAUCUUCAGUUAAAAACUGGGAGUUGUCUAGACUCUUGUAGUAUUAGACAUAAGGAGAAGAGUUGAAUGGAAAUAGUUGGUAUCUGCAUUAUGCCUGCUGUAAAGAUGCUAGAAGGUAAUCUGGAUCCAGAUUGUUUGGGGAUAAAAUCAUAACAUAUUCACACUAAACCCUGACACAGAAAUUAUUUCAUAGUACUGUCCUUGAUACAAAUAAUUCAGUUUUCCUAGUUGCUAACUUCCUAGUUCCUAUCCUACUGGCCCAUACUAUUUUCUGCGUUGACAUGAUCAGCUUGUGCAAUGAUACUAUUUUACUGAAAAUGUUGUAUUCUGCAACUGCUGCUAAUCUGCUUCAGUUAGAACUUGGGAGUUGUCUGCACACUCUUGUAGUAUUAGACAUUUGGAGUAUUUGCAUUAUGCCUUCUGUAAAGGUGCUAGAAGGUAAUCUGAAUCAAGUUUGUUUGGGGAUAAAAUCAUAACAUAUAUUCACACUAAACCGUGACACAAAAAUUAUUGGUUUCAUAGUACUGUCCUUGAUACAAAUAAUUCACUUUUCCCAUUUGGCACCAUUAAUUUGUCACUUGUAGAAACUUUGGAACUCUGAUAUCCAACUCAGUAAAGUUAUUUGUACUGUAAAUUCUGUUCGAUUUAGCAUACUAUAAAUUGUUUGAACAACAUGUGAACUAGAUUCAGGUUAUAUCCUACAGUAUUUCAUGAAAGCUUUCUUUCAGGUUUUUGCACAUUAUAUUGUAUUUUUCAGGCUUUUGUGCAUAAGCUGUCUUCUUCGUUAAUUCUGCAACACAUUGAUAUUUAAGUUAUUGGUCUUCUCAAACUGUUGCACUACCUGUGACUUGAUGCCUAAGUUGCUCACUUUCUGUUCUUAUUCAGCUCACGCAGAGCUGCGGUACCCGGAUGUCGGUGCAGAUUAGAGAAAGAUAAGAGCAGGGCUCCUAACAAUCCACCUCUUCAGAAGUGACGCUGCCUCGGACACGAUGACAUGAAAAUUCAGAACUGCAUUUUGCAUUCAGAUAUAGGUUUAGGAAGCGCCUCUUGUGUCUGUUAGCAUAGAUAAACUUGAUUCAGUCCCAAGACAGGAGGAACCUGUCUAUUUUACCUUUGUGGCUCUAAAAUUUCAGAAUUUGUGUGAAGAAAUUAUACAUUGGCAUUGGUCUGUAGUGAUUUCGAACUUAUUCUGGCUGCUACUUCAGGGUUGACUCUGUAAUUUCUCUUAUAUGUCAAUUUGAGAACCUCUGUGAGCAGUUAUGCAAUAACAUUGGUUUGUAGUGGUUGUGUUCUUAACUUGUUAUACCUGCUGGUACUUCAGCGUUGUCGGGUGCAUUUCUCUUAGAUGUCAGCGCUGCUGUUUGAAGUUUCAGUCAUUCAGCAGAAAAUGAAUUUUGCAAGAUAUGUACAGGUCGAUAUUAUUUGCUGCAUUCAAAUGAUCUUUUGGGAUUUAUUUUAAUGGAGCAUUGAUAAGCUUGUGCUGGAAGAUAUAUAGUGAUAAUCUUCAGUUAGGAGUUUACUGAAACUGUUGUAUUCUGCAACUGCUGCUAAUCUUUAGUUAGGAGUUUACUGAAACUGUUGUAUUCUGCAACUGCUGCUAAUCUUCAGUUAGGAAUUUACUGAAACUGUUGUAUUCUGCAACUGCUGCUAAUCUUCAGUUUGUAGUUGGGACUCGUCUGUAUUAAUAUAAGUAGAAGGAGUUGAAUAGAAAUGCUUGGUAUUUGCAUUAUGCGUGUUGUACAAAUGCUAGAAGGUGAUCUGAAGCUAAACUGACUAUUGGGGAGAAAAAUCAUUAUUCAAGUUACAUAUUAACAUUAAACCUUGAUACAGUUUUUUUUUUGUUUCAUACGACUGACACACAUAAUUAAAUUUUCCCAUUUGGAACUCAGAAACCCAACCCAGUCAAGUCUUAGAUUCUCGGCCUUAAACAGAGGACACAUAUUUCUAGUUGAUUUAGCAUACUGUACGUUUUUUGAACAGCAUGCAAACAAAUUCAGGUUAUAUUGAUGAAAUGAUGAUACCAAAUUCAGGUUGUUUUACAGGUUUUAUACAUAAGCUGUCUUCUUAGUCAAUUAUGCAAUGCAGUGAUAUUUAAGUUAUGGAUCCUCUCCACGAUUGCCUACGACAUGAUUCCUUACUCUUUCACUGUCUGGUCUAACAGUCCACGCCGAGUUGCAGUACCCGGAUGUCAAUGCAGAGUAGAGAAAUAUAAGAGCAAGAGUCCACAGUCGCCUGUUUGACCGUCGCCUGACAGUCCCCUGUUCAGAAGUGUCACCGCCUCUGACGCAAUGACAUGAGAAUUCAGAACUGUACAAUUUACAUUGAUAUUUAGGUUUAGGAAUCCUCAGAAGCUCUUGUGAUUCUGCUAGCUGAAAUUGAUUCAUUCUCCUGACAACAAGGUACUGAACUUGCAGAGCCUUUGUUCUCACACGGUGUCAAUAUUGUUUUCUAGAGACAACAGCUUAAGGUAAUCUUGUCUAUCGAAAACAUCUCAAACAACAAGCUUAAUCUAAUCUUGUCUGCACAGUGCGCAGCAACAGAGCUACAGGACUACGAUCAAACAUCUGAAACAACGCAAGAUGAGGUCGAUCCAUCAAUCGGACAACUCGAUCGAUCAGGCAUCGCUGUCGCGGUCGUCGCCGCUGCCGACUCGCCGCUGUCGUUUGAGGCAGUAGUCCCCGGCGUCGACGCCUUGGUUGGCCUUCUCGCACGCGUCGAUCCAGUCGUGAUAGAUGUCGACGGGCUCGGUGAGGUGGUGCGCCGCGGUGUGGUAGGCCUCCUGGCAGACGUAGCAGACGGCGCUGGCGACGUAGAGCUUGAGGUCGAUGGUGCAGGACACGCCGCCGGGGUGGUUGCAGAAGGGGCAGCAGAAGGUGGUGUCCAGCUUCGGCGCCGGCUUCUUCCGCGACGCCAUCUUGGAGCUCAUCGACUUGCGCUUCGCCAUCUCGAUCACCGCACCACCAGAUCGCGAUCGCAGGUAGGAGGUUCCGGCAGCAAAACCAAAACUUCGAGGCGUAGGUGCAGGAGAGAGAGAGAGGCGAUGUGUUGGUAGGGAAAGGAAAGUGUUGGGCGUGCUUAUAAAGGAUGUGCAUGCCCACUCCGACUCCGGCUCCUCUUCGGCGGCAGAAUGAGAAAUGCAUAUGCAUAUGCAUUGCGUGGUGUGGCGGUGCAACGAAGCCAUUACCGAGUCGGAGC
RNAcentral lists this long non-coding RNA (43306 nucleotides) under Hordeum vulgare. RNAcentral's name for it is "long non-coding RNA (HVUL_LNC017719)". The stretch from base 26870 to 27005 matches the Rfam family "MIR1120/MIR1122 microRNA precursor family". Lineage: Eukaryota; Viridiplantae; Streptophyta; Magnoliopsida; Poales; Poaceae. The record is from RNAcentral.